GACGAACGCUGGCGGCGUGCCUAAUACAUGCAAGUAGAACGCACAGUUUAUACCGUAGCUUGCUACACCAUAGACUGUGAGUUGCGAACGGGUGAGUAACGCGUAGGUAACCUGCCUGGUAGCGGGGGAUAACUAUUGGAAACGAUAGCUAAUACCGCAUAAUAUUAAUUAUUGCAUGAUAAUUAAUUGAAAGGUGCAAUUGCACCACUACCAGAUGGACCUGCGUUGUAUUAGCUAGUAGGUGAGGUAACGGCUCACCUAGGCGACGAUACAUAGCCGACCUGGGAGGGUGAUCGGCCACACUGGGACUGAGACACGGCCCAGACUCCUACGGGGGGCAGCAGUAGGGAAUCUUCGGCAAUGGACGAAAGUCUGACCGAGCAACGCCGCGGGAGUGAAGAAGGUUUUCGGAUCGUAAAGCUCUGUUGUAAGAGAAGAACGGGUGUGAGAGUGGAAAGUUCACACUGUGACGGUAUCUUACCAGAAAGGGACGGCUAACUACGUG
This 505-nucleotide ribosomal RNA is filed under the name uncultured bacterium. RNAcentral describes it as "partial 16S ribosomal RNA". It matches the Rfam family "Bacterial small subunit ribosomal RNA", at positions 28 to 507 of the family's 1533-position model. The record is from RNAcentral.